GGCCAGUUGGGGCCUGCCGAACGGGCCAAGAAAGUAGAGGACAUGAUGAAGAAGCUGUGGGGUGACAGGUACUUUGACCCAGCCAACGGCAAGUUCAGCAAGUCAGCCACCAGCCCCGAAGGGAAGAAGCUGCCACGCACCUUCUGCCAGCUGAUCCUGGACCCCAUCUUCAAGGUGUUUGAUGCGAUCAUGAAUUUCAAGAAAGAGGAGACAGCAAAACUGAUAGAGAAACUGGACAUCAAACUGGACAGCGAGGACAAGGACAAAGAAGGCAAACCCCUGCUGAAGGCUGUGAUGCGCCGCUGGCUGCCCGCCGGAGACGCCUUGUUGCAGAUGAUCACCAUCCACCUGCCCUCCCCUGUGACGGCCCAGAAGUACCGCUGCGAGCUCCUGUACGAGGGGCCCCCGGACGACGAGGCUGCCAUGGGUACGUGGUCCCGGCGGCCGGGCCCUGAGUUGCAGCCGGAUGACUUCCUGUUCCCCAAGGUUGUGGGUUGCAGGGUUCCAGAAGGCUGAGCUGCACUGGAAUAAAGCUUGCGGGUUUUCUCUGUCCCUCAGGCAUUAAAAGCUGUGACCCCAAA
RNAcentral lists this small RNA (581 nucleotides) under Pan troglodytes (chimpanzee). Its description in RNAcentral is "retained intron". The record is from RNAcentral. Lineage: Eukaryota; Metazoa; Chordata; Mammalia; Primates; Hominidae.